Molecule: ribosomal RNA, 252 nt
Filed under: uncultured bacterium
Lineage: Bacteria
Description: partial 16S ribosomal RNA
Rfam family: Bacterial small subunit ribosomal RNA
Source: RNAcentral
GCAAGUCGAACGAGAAAGCACUUCGGUGUGAGUACAGUGGCGCACGGGUGAGUAACGCGUAGGUGAUAUGCCUAUUAGUGGGGGACAACAGUUGGAAACGGCUGCUAAUACCGCAUAAGCUUGGUGACAUUGAAAAAACCAAGGAAAGGGGGCUUCGGCUCUCGCUAGUAGAUUGGCCUGCGUAGCAUUAGCUUGUUGGUGGGGUAAUGGCCUACCAAGACGAUGAUGCAUAGCCGACCUGAGAGGGUGAUC